This 1622-nucleotide ribosomal RNA is filed under the name Triticum aestivum (bread wheat). RNAcentral's name for it is "partial small subunit ribosomal RNA". The record is from RNAcentral. Lineage: Eukaryota; Viridiplantae; Streptophyta; Magnoliopsida; Poales; Poaceae.
GAUCACAUCCCCAUUUUGCCUCUCCUCCGCGCUCUCUCUCUCCACACACACACACACACACACACACACACACACACACACACACAGACACACACUUCCGAUCUUACAUUUGCUCUGAGAAAUCAGAUAGGAAUCCUGCACCGGCGAGAAAGAAACCCCGAGCAGAUAGAGAUGGAGGCCGUGCAUGAGGGCAAUGGAGGAGGGAGCGGCCUGGUGGUGACGGAGCUGAGCCACAUCAAGGAGCUGGUGAAGCAGCUGGACGUGCACCUGGGGGGCUCGCCCGACCUCUGCAAGCUCCUCGCCCAGCAGAUCUUCGCCGUCACCGAGAGGUCCAUCGGCAUGAUCAGGUCCGGCCACUUCAACGGCCCCAAGCGCCCGGCCGCCGGCGCCGGCCUCGACUCGCCGCCGCUGUCCCCCACGCCCAGCCCCCUCAGCGGCGUCUCCAACACGCCGUUCAAGCCCAACAAGAAGAGGAAGACGUCGGAGAAAGGGGGGCGUCAGAUCAGGGUGAGCUCGGCGGCGGGAGGGGCGGACGCCCCCGCCGACGACGGCCGCAGCUGGAGGAAGUACGGCCAGAAGGACAUCCUCGGAGCCCAGCACCCAAGGGCGUACUACCGUUGCACGUACCAAAAGACUCAGGGAUGCGCGGCGACGAAGCAGGUGCAGCGCGCCGACGAGGACCCGGCGCUCUUCGACGUGAUCUACCACGGCGAGCACACCUGCGUCCAUAAGACGGCGGCGGCGGCGGUGCAGCCGGCCGGGCAGAACCCGGGCGCGGAAAGCCUUCUGCAGAGCCUGAGCUCGAGCCUGACGGUGAAGACCGAGGGGCUCACGGCGGCGGGAGCGCAGGGCUGGAGCGCCACCACGCCCUUCAGCUUCUCCUCGCCGGCGGUGAGCGGCAUGACGCCGCCGGAGCACCACCCGUUCUCCACGCCGUCGACGCCGGAGAACUGCUUCGUGUCGAUGCCCACGUCGCUCGAACCCUCGCCGGCGACCUCGGGCUCGAACCACAUGUGCAUGACCCCGUUCCAUGCGCAGUCCGAGCUCCAAACAAUGGUGUCAGCGCUCGUGGAGGCGACGAGCAUGCCGGCGGCCGGCACGGAGGAGGCUGCCUUCUACACAUUCCAGUCCGAUUGGAGCUUCGACGAUUCUGCCUUGGACGUUAACAACUUCGACGUUUCUGCCUUGGACGUCAAUAACUUCGACGUUUCUGUCUUCUUGGCAUGAGAUGUUUGAAAAGAGAAGAUGAGGAGUAGAAAUUAGAGAAGCAGCUGGAGGUGACCACCCUCUGAGGGACAGAGGAGGGAAGAACACGCCAGUUCUUCCUCAGUGCAGGUCUGAAAUUUAGGACAUAAGAUUAUUGCCUCCCCCUUCACCCCAAUUCUUUUUUCCCCAUUUCCUUUUUGCCACCAGGGCGUCGCAUUGUAUUAUAUUGUUAUGUCAAGGAAAAUAAAAAUCUGUCAUUGGUGUUCUGCAUCUCGUACAGUUCCACCAUCUCUUGGGAAUCAGUAAGACAGUAACUGUAAUUCCGAUCGAGAUAUUGGACAUAGAAUGCCACUCUUCAAAUCAAAAAGGGAAAAAAGGAAUAAUCAGCUGUGACACAAAAUCAAACGAAUCCUUUU